This 478-nucleotide ribosomal RNA is filed under the name uncultured bacterium. RNAcentral describes it as "partial 16S ribosomal RNA". It matches the Rfam family "Bacterial small subunit ribosomal RNA", at positions 28 to 523 of the family's 1533-position model. The record is from RNAcentral.
GACGAACGCCGGCGGCGUGCUUAACACAUGCAAGUCGAACGGUAAGGCCCUUCGGGGUACACGAGUGGCGAACGGGUGAGUAACACGUGGGUGAUCUACCCUGCACUUCGGGAUAAGCCUGGGAAACUGGGUCUAAUACCGGAUAGGACCACUGCCUGCAUGGGUGGUGGUGGAAAGCUUUUGCGGUGUGGGAUGGGCCCGCGGCCUAUCAGCGUGUUGGUGGGGUGAUGGCCUACCAAGGCGACGACGGGUAGCCGGCCUGAGAGGGUGACCGGCCACACUGGGACUGAGAUACGGCCCAGACUCCUACGGGAGGCAGCAGUGGGGAAUAUUGCACAAUGGGCGCAAGCCUGAUGCAGCGACGCCGCGUGAGGGAUGACGGCCUUCGGGUUGUAAACCUCUUUCAGCACCGACGAAGCGCAAGUGACGGUAGGUGCAGAAGAAGGACCGGCCAACUACGUGCCAGCCGCCGCAGUAA